GGUGGGUGCAUUGAGGGGGGCAGGGGCAGGCAAGUGAAGGAGGCAUACACAUACACCCUUGAUGGAUAAAACAGAAUAAAACAUGUUUUCGACAGAGGCACAAGGAAAAGGCCAAGAGGGAAGAGGAGCAAUUAAUUCUCCAAAAAGUUCAAGACAGCCUUCAUGGAUAUAGUGACAUUUGAGCAAGACCUUGAAGAAGCAUUUCAGGAGGAAGAAAGAUAAGAACAGAGAAACCUGCAUUGUUUUGCCCCAAAUCCCACAGCUGGAAUGUGGCUGAACAGAGGUCCAAGUACACUUCUCUAUCUCCGAGUCCUGCAUUUCUUCCACAGCAUGGCCCAGGUUUACACGCCCCAGUAUUUAAACCAGCACAAGUGCACCAGCGGACUGCUCCACAGCCACACCUCCAACCUUCAGCCCAAGGAGCACAGCCAGCCCUGGAGGAGCUGCAGCUCAAGAUGUUGAUGCUGCAAACAGGGAGAUGCUGUGGUCAACCUUGACUGUCCUCCCAAACUACUGAAGACGCACUCCCCUGCAGUCUGGCUCUACCUCCCACUCUCAUUGGGCCUUUUUCUUUUUCUUUUCUUUUCUUUCUUUCUUUCUUUUUUUCUUUCUUGUCUGCAAAGCUUAGACCAAAGUAAGUAAUCUAGAAAUAUCCAGAAAAGAGUUAAUUAAAACAACUCAGGUUGAGAAGGCAGAUGCAGAAGAUCAAGGAGCUUCUGAAGUUGACACAGGACUCUAAGAGGGAGAAAUGAAUCUCAAGACCGCUGUGGGACAUGUGCUCCUGCAACUUCACAAUUGAUCUCGUAGAGCUAUUGCCUUACACAUAAUUGCUCCAAAUUAGGUGUUGCAUUUUAUUGCAUUAAAGCCUUGCUAACUUGU
This is a non-coding RNA of Macaca mulatta (Rhesus monkey), 879 nucleotides long. Lineage: Eukaryota; Metazoa; Chordata; Mammalia; Primates; Cercopithecidae. The record is from RefSeq and is a predicted model, not a curated record.